This 245-nucleotide microRNA precursor is filed under the name Amborella trichopoda. RNAcentral describes it as "MIR8562 microRNA precursor family". It matches the Rfam family "MIR8562 microRNA precursor family". The record is from Rfam by way of RNAcentral. Lineage: Eukaryota; Viridiplantae; Streptophyta; Magnoliopsida; Amborellales; Amborellaceae.
UUUUCUACAAAUCGGAAUGACCUGAAAUUUAGAGCGUGUGUUCAUAAAAAAUAGGCGAAUCUACAAAAAAUAUCAAAAAAAUAUUUUACAUGAAAAAAAUUGACCAAAAUAACCCAGAAAAGUUUUGGGGGUAUAUUUUGGUCAUUUUUUUUUUUACGAAUUAUUUUUUUUUAUAUUUUUCUUAGGUGUGUCUCACUAAGAUGUACACACGCUCCAAAUUUCAAGUCAUUCCAAUUUGUAGAAAA